RNAcentral lists this ribosomal RNA (798 nucleotides) under uncultured Gammaproteobacteria bacterium. RNAcentral's name for it is "bacterial SSU rRNA". It matches the Rfam family "Bacterial small subunit ribosomal RNA", at positions 84 to 877 of the family's 1533-position model. The record is from RNAcentral. Lineage: Bacteria; Pseudomonadati; Pseudomonadota; Gammaproteobacteria.
AUAUGAGUAGAGCGGCGAACGGGUGAGUAACGCGUAGGAAUGUACCUAGUAGAAGGGGAUAGCCCGGGGAAACUCGGAUUAAUACCGUAUACCUCCUUUGGGAGAAAGAAGGCCUCUCUUUGAAGCUUUCGCUAUUAGAUCAGCCUGCGUAAGAUUAGCUUGUUGGUGAGGUAAUGGCUCACCAAGGCUACGAUCUUUAGCUGGUCUGAGAGGACGAUCAGCCACAUUGGGACUAAGACACGGCCCAGACUCCUACGGGAGGCAGCAGUGGGGAAUAUUGGACAAUGGGCGCAAGCCUGAUCCAGCCAUACCGCGUGUGUGAAGAAGGCCUUCGGGUUGUAAAGCACUUUAAGCAGGGAGAAAAAGAUAUGGGUUAAUACCCUAUAUCCGUGAUGUUACCUGCAGAAUAAGCACCGGCUAAUUCCGUGCCAGCAGCCGCGGUAAUACGGAAGGUGCAAGCGUUAAUCGGAAUUACUGGGCGUAAAGCGCGCGUAGGUGGUUUUUUAAGUUGGAUGUGAAAGCCCUGGGCUCAACCUAGGAACUGCAUCCAAAACUGAAUAACUAGAGUACGAUAGAGGGAGGUAGAAUUCAUAGUGUAGCGGUGGAAUGCGUAGAUAUUAUGAAGAAUACCAGUGGCGAAGGCGGCCUCCUGGAUCUGUACUGACACUAAGGUGCGAAAGCGUGGGUAGCGAACAGGAUUAGAUACCCUGGUAGUCCACGCCGUAAACGAUGACAACUAGCUGUUGGAAGGCAAUGCCUUUCAGUGGCGCAAGCUAACGUUUUAAGUGUCCGCCUGGG